UCCUGAAUUGAGAAGGAUUUGAAUUUUCUAUUACAAUUUCAAUCAUAGUUGAUCAUUGAUAUCUCAAAUGACAAGAAUAUCCGACUUUUCACAUGUUUGAAGAUGAUGGACUUUGUUCAAGACCACAUGAUAAUUAUAAUAGAAGUUGAACCUUAUUGACCCUUAUAAAUAAGCUAUAUAUGUAAACAUAUACAUGUGAGAUUGGUAAACAUGUGAAUGUUGGUGGGUGAAAUGCUAAUAUGCUUGAAUGGCAUAAUCCUUGCAUAUGAGAAAACUAAAAGCAAACCAAUUAUCAGGCUGUAAUUGGGUCCACACUUUUGGCUCUCCACAAUUAUUGCCAAGUCUUAUAUCUUUUGUAUAUAUAACAGUUUCAAAAGUGCAUUUGAGUUUGGGAAUGUUGUGCUGUUUUUUGUUUUGUAAUGCAAAUUUGUAUAUGUUUUCUUUUCGUUAACUUUGACCAACGCCAAUGUUUAUCUUCUUUUUCUGGUCAUUAAAAGUCCUUUAGGUUAACAAACGAAUUAGGGUCUGUUUGUUUCAUCAUUUAUCAUUUCCAUUCAAAUGAUUCACUUACAUGAUUUAUUUGAAUAAUACAUUUAAAUGAUAUGUUUCAUUAUUUGUAAUUUA
Molecule: small RNA, 624 nt
Filed under: Arabidopsis thaliana (thale cress)
Lineage: Eukaryota; Viridiplantae; Streptophyta; Magnoliopsida; Brassicales; Brassicaceae
Description: ATSL045360
Source: RNAcentral